GACGAACGCUGGCGGCGUGCCUAAUACAUGCAAGUAGAACGCUGAAGGAGGAGCUUGCUCUUCUGGAUGAGUUGCGAACGGGUGAGUAACGCGUAGGUAACCUGCCUGGUAGCGGGGGAUAACUAUUGGAAACGAUAGCUAAUACCGCAUAAGAGUAGAUGUUGCAUGACAUUUACUUAAAAGGUGCAAUUGCAUCACUACCAGAUGGACCUGCGUUGUAUUAGCUAGUUGGUGGGGUAACGGCUUACCAAGGCGACGAUACAUAGCCGACCUGAGAGGGGGAUCGGCCACACUGGGACUGAGACACGGCCCAGACUCCUACGGGAGGCAGCAGUAGGGAAUCUUCGGCAAUGGACGGAAGUCUGACCGAGCAACGCCGCGUGAGUGAAGAAGGGUUUCGGAUCGUAAAGCUCUGUUGUAAGAGAAGAACGAGUGUGAGAGUGGAAAGUUCACACUGUGACGGUAUCUGACCAGAAAGGGACGGCUAACUACGUG
This 495-nucleotide ribosomal RNA is filed under the name uncultured bacterium. RNAcentral's name for it is "partial 16S ribosomal RNA". It matches the Rfam family "Bacterial small subunit ribosomal RNA", at positions 28 to 507 of the family's 1533-position model. The record is from RNAcentral.